GAUGAAAGAACGUAGCGAAAUGCGAUAAGUAAUGUGAAUUGCAGAAUUCAGUGAAUCAUCGAAUCUUUGAACGCACAUUGCGCCCCCUGGUAUUCCGGGGGGCAUGCCUGUUCGAGCGUCAUUUCACCACUCAAGCCUCGCUUGGUAUUGGGCAACGCGGUCCGCCGCGUGCCUCAAAUCGACCGGCUGGGUCUUCUGUCCCCUAAGCGUUGUGGAAACUAUUCGCUAAAGGGUGUUCGGGAGGCUACGCCGUAAAACAACCCCAUUUCUAAGGUUGACCUCGGAUCAGGUAGGGAUACCCGCUGAACUUAAGCAUAUCAAUAAGCGGAGGA
RNAcentral lists this unclassified non-coding RNA (332 nucleotides) under soil metagenome. RNAcentral describes it as "partial contains 5.8S ribosomal RNA, internal transcribed spacer 2, and large subunit ribosomal RNA". The stretch from base 6 to 121 matches the Rfam family "5.8S ribosomal RNA", at positions 39 to 154 of the family's 154-position model. The record is from RNAcentral.